UCUGGGUAUAAAUACUCUCCUUCAGGGAGCAGCUGAUUCUACAGAAGCAAAACUGACCCUAUAAAAACAAAUCAAACCGACAGCCACCACCCUAAAAACGGUAGCCAGAAGGACCUGGUUUCUGUGUCGUCGCCCCAGGACAAGCAGCGUCCUUUGCUGCAUUUUUACAAUGGGGAUCAUUUUGAGGUAGGGAGCCGGCAGGCCCUGCUUGAUGAAGAGUCAUAAGACCAGAACCAAGGUCUCUGAUAAAACAGGAGGCGGUGAAGAAACCGGCCCAAACCAGCCAGAACCAAGAUGGCCAUGGCAAACCUCAGGUUGCCCUCACUGCUCAUCAAUGCAUUAGCUACUGAAAGAAACUCCCACCAGCGCCAUGACAGUUUGCAAAUGCCAUGGCAACACCCAGAAGUCGCCCUGGAUGCUUUAAAAAGGCUUGCUCUUGAAUUCGUUCCCGUGCAAAGCCAAGAACCCACUGGCCUUCCGGCUAGACCCUAGUUUUGGGGUCUGCUUUCCUGUAUCAUCGCCACAUUCCGUGUCGUGGGUGCUGAGCUGCAGCUGCGGUGUGCUGGUGGCCGGACCUGGGCCCCGUCCCCACAGAGCUCUGUCCAGUGAGACGAAGGCUGCCAUCUUGCCUACUCAUUAGGCAAAAAAAUAAAAAACCACCUAGGUAGCCAUCCACAGAGGGCUGGUUCAAUAAA
Molecule: non-coding RNA, 695 nt
Organism: Microcebus murinus (gray mouse lemur)
Lineage: Eukaryota; Metazoa; Chordata; Mammalia; Primates; Cheirogaleidae
Source: RefSeq, a predicted model, not a curated record